This is an RNA transcript of Daucus carota subsp. sativus, 3793 nucleotides long. It is a transcript of the gene named pentatricopeptide repeat-containing protein At3g26782, mitochondrial, with no coding region annotated. The record is from RefSeq and is a predicted model, not a curated record. Lineage: Eukaryota; Viridiplantae; Streptophyta; Magnoliopsida; Apiales; Apiaceae. The transcript is spliced from 3 exons.
AAACUUGAAAGUCAGUAAUAAUCAGAAACACACUGAGAUAAUAAUGCUAAAAAUAUGAUUUGCCUAAACUUCAAACCCAUAUUUGUACGACAAUAGUUUUCUAGCUCGUCAUCUAUACGUGUAGUCUCGACUGAUGAAGAAUUCAAAUACAAAAUCGGCGGCAUUGAGCGCCUUAAGUCAGUGUUCAGCAACCAAUCCCAACCUCACAAGCUUGUUUACGAAAUACGUAGACAAAACAAGUGUUUCAUCUUGGAACUCUGUCAUUGCUGACUUGGCUCGCAACGGGGACUCGCUUGAAGCUCUUCGAGCUUUCUCUUCUAUGCGAAAGCUUUCUCUUGUCCCAAACCGGUCCACCUUUCCAUGUGCUAUUAAAUCUUGCUCUGCACUUUUUGAUUUACACUCGGGCAGGCAAGCUCACCAACAGGCUUUCGUAUUUGGCUUACAAUCAGACCUUUUUGUUUCUUCUGCUCUCAUUGAUAUGUACUCAAAAUGUGGCUACUUGGUGGACGCAAGAACAUUGUUUGAUGAAAUUCCUCAAAGAAAUGUGGUUUCUUGGACUAUUAUGUUUACUGGGUAUGUCCAAAAUGGACUUUCGCAUGAUGCCCUAAUACUUUUUAAGGACUUCUUGAAGGAAGAAAGUGAAACUGAGGGAGAAAAAGAGGCGGGUAUUGAUUCGGUUGCCUUGGUAUCAGUUCUGUCUGCUUGUUCUCGUGUUUCGGGGAAGGGUAUAACAGAAGGACUUCAUGGUUUUAUAGUAAAAAGGGGAUUUCAAGGGGAUACACGCGUUGGUAACACUUUGAUGGAUGCGUAUGCCAAGUGCGGGGAGGUUGGUGCCUCUAGAAAAGUGUUUGAUGAGAUGGAUGAGAAGGAUGUUAUAUCUUGGAAUUCCAUGAUUGCUGUGUAUGCUCAAGUUGGAAAGUCAGCCGAGGCAAUGGAAUUGUUCUUUGCCCUUGUUAGGGAUAAGAAUGUUCACUAUAAUAGUGUAACUUUAUCUGCUGUAUUAUUGGCUUGUGCACAUUCUGGAGCUCUGCAAGUUGGAAAGUGUUUGCAUAAUCAGGCCAUGAAGAUGGGUCUUCAGGAAACUGUAUAUAUAGGUACUUCAGUCGUUGACAUGUAUUGUAAAUGUGGUAGAAUUGAAGCAGCAAAGAGGGCAUUUAAUCAAAUGAAAGAAAAGAACGUGAAGUCUUGGAGUGCCAUGGUUGCUGGUUAUGGAGCAAAUGGUCUUGCGAAAGAAGCUUUGGAUGUAUUUUGCUGUAUGAAUAGUUCUGGGGUAAAACCAAACUACAUAACCUUUGUGUCAGUCCUGGCAGCUUGUAGUCAUGCUGGCAUGUUGGAUGAAGGAAAGUAUUGGUUCAGUGCCAUGGAGAAUAGAUUUGGUAUUGAACCGGGGGUGGAGCAUUACGGUUGCAUGAUUGAUCUUCUUGGUCGUGCUGGUAGACUUGGGGAGGCUUAUAAUCUGAUAAAGAAAAUGAAGGUAAAGCCUGAUUUUGUGAUAUGGGGUUCUCUAUUAGCUGCGUGCAGAAUGCACAGAAAUGUGGAGCUCGGGGAGAUCUCUGCAAGGAAAUUGUUUGAACUAGAUCCAAAAAAUUGUGGAUAUUAUGUAUUGCUUUCAAACAUAUAUGCGGAUGCUGGAAGGUGGGAUGAUGUGGAAAGAAUGAGAUUACUUAUGAAAAAUCGCGGGCUAAUGAAGCCUCCGGGAUUUAGUCUGGUUGAAAUCAAAGGAAGGGUUCAUGUGUUUUUGGUUGGAGACAUGGAGCAUCCUGAACAUGAGAGGAUUCAUGCAUAUAUGGAGAAAUUAUAUGUGGAGCUUGAGGAAGCAGGUUACAUGCCCAAUAUGACAUCAGUUCUUCAUGACGUGAAUGAGGAAGAGAAGGGAAUGUCAAUUAGAGUUCACAGUGAAAAGUUGGCAGUGGCAUUUGGUCUUAUGAACUCAGUCCCUGGAGCAGCAAUUCAGGUAAUUAAGAAUCUUCGUAUUUGUGGUGAUUGUCAUACAAUGAUAAAACUCAUUUCCAAGAUUCGAAAACGAGAAAUUGUGGUGAGAGAUUCCAAAAGAUUUCACCACUUUAAAGAUGGCUGCUGUUCUUGUAAGGAUUAUUGGUGAUCAGUAUUGAAAACGAGAAAGGCAUUUUGUUACUACAUCCCUAGCACCCCCACUCUGAAUUAUUUGAACUAAAGAAUUACAUCUUCUGCAAGAAUGGAAAGAGUUUUGGGAGUGAACUGGAUGAAAUGGUGGAGGGAGCUGGUUGUCAAAAUUUCUCUCAUACUCCCUGGAAAAUGUGAAGCACACAAUAAAAAAAUCGCCGCUCUGAUAGACAAGGUUAGCUCAUUGAAGAAGUAAUGACCUUCCAUGGAGUUCCGAAAGGUGACUUUCAAAAUAGGAAUACCAUUAUAUAACAAGUUCAAGUAUUCAGCUUGUGCUGCAUCUUGUAUGCCUCAUGUGGAUGUAGCAAGAAACUUUUUGUUUUAAAUUUGGUUGUAUGUGAUCUCCAUUUGGAGCUAAACAUGAGGUGCCGACUUAAGGAUCUUCGUUGAAGAUCCAUGGGAUGCAAUGUGCAAAUUUGUAUAGUGGUAUUGCGUUGAAAAGUACCAAAUAUAAACGGGAUCAUCUCACAACUCUGCAAGGGCGUCCAACGGUCAUGUUUAGUAUGGUCGAGAAGGCAUUAUAUCAGGAAUGUAGAUAAUUUACUGUAUAAAUGUGACCUUGAUGGGAAGGAGUUGGUGAUCCAUGUAUCCAUGUCUUCUUCUGGUGAAAUUUAACACUAGAAUCGGAGCACGAAGCAUAUCUCACAACUCUGCAAGGGCAUCCAACGGUCAUGUUUAGUAUGGUCGAGAAGGCAUUAUAUCAGGAAUGUAGAUAAUUUACUGUAUAAAUGUGACCUUGAUGGGAAGGAGUUGGUGAUCCAUGUAUCCAUGUCUUCUUCUGGUGAAAUUUAACACUAGAAUCGGAGCAAGAAGCAUCUAUCUGCAUCAAUGUUUGAUGGCAUAGAUCAUGGUUCCGUCGUAUUCCCUUCUGCAGUAUAGAAUGCUGGGACAUACAUGUUGCUUCUAUAUAUAUAUACAUGAAACCUCGCAGCAUAGCUUCAAAGAGCUUAGUUACAAGAUGGUUGUCAAUGAGGUCAUGAUCUGUAUUUGGGUUGAUCAGAAGGCAGUCCAGUUAUGCAGCAGUUCUCGGAAUUAUAGUUGAUCAUCUAGCUCGGGUUCGACUGGUCAUGAACUUAUAACUGUUUUACAUGUUUAGCUUUACAGAUGCGCAAAGCCAUACUAUAUGAGAAUCAAAAAUACCUUGCAUAAACAAACACAGCUAUUAUCACACAGAUACAGCGUGUGCAUAUCCUUUGGGCCUUGAAUAUGGUCAGCCAUGUAUGGUGGUGGGUUUUUUUUUUUUUUUUUUUUUUUUUAUAAAUCUUGUGGAUUAUAUAUAUUGAUUCCAUUUGUUUAAAUUUGGCCACAUAAAUUUUAGUCUUUUCACACAACAGGUGUGGAUCUUGAUUAUACUUGUUUAGUAGACAUUGGACAUUAGUUCUUGCAAUUUGUGUAGGUUAUGAUGCAUAACUGAGUUCAGGCAUCCAGCUGAGGCAUUCUCCUGUGACGAUUGAUGUUUAGCGAACUUUGCAAGAAUCCAGACGUUUAUGUUCUUGAGGUGCGUCUCAUUUACAUGUUUGUGAAAUCGACAUAUUUCUCUGAAAAAUCAUACGUAAGAGAUCUGUAUUUUAGUAGAUAUCAGUAUGCCAUGGUUGUAUAAUCUGCAAUUCUCUCAUGCAAAUCUGACCUGGACCUGGUAUUUUGUUUCUUC